CCGACGCUCCAGAUGCCUUCCAUUUAUUCCGUUAUCGCCAUGUGUUGUUUUUUUGUUGCAAUCUUCAUCGCAUCAUUCGCAUUGCACCGGCACUCUUUUGUCAUCAUUUUCCAAACUUGCAUCUGUUCGUCAUUGUCACAUCUCUCCCUUGUCAUGAUUGGUCAUUCUGAGAUCAACCACACUUGCAACAUUGUUUUUUGUUUUCUCUCUUGCCUAAACCAAAGUCUUUCUCCAUAGUACACAGACCCCUUCAUGUGCGUGUCUGAAACUCCCCCCGGACCCGAACCGGUCGAACAUGGCCGAUCGGUUUGGAUCAUAUGGCUCCAAACCACUCCCCCAAUCUGUCUAUGUUAUAAAUAGCAGACAAAGACCUACCAAUUUUAUCCAAACCUAGAUCCUAGGAACCUGUCUCGUCGCCGCUGCCGCUCAUCCCAAAUCCUCCUCAAUUUCCCAGCCAACCAACCAAAUCCACCUUCCCUUCCUCCUGAAGCACUCCACUCCUCUCGAUCCUUGCUCGCCUCGCAAGCCUCGUCGCGGGUCAACCGCACCGCUGCUCAUGGCCUGUACCAACCUCCUCCUCCGCCACCAAGUCCCACCGCCGCCAGUCAUCCUAUCUCCUUCCACCUCCGGAUUGCCCCUGAUCCAAACCCAUAGCUUCCAGAUCCGUCGCCACCAACCUUCUCCUAGUCUCCCGACCUAGCCACCCGGCUCUCAGUGCCGCCUCCCUCUUCUUGCCGAGCAUCCCCGCUCGAGGAGGAGCCCCGCUCACUCCUAGAUCGAUCCCCGCUCCCCUGCAGCUGAGCUGCUAGACCAGCCGCUCACCAAGAGCUAGCAGCAGCCCCGCUAUCAUCAGGCCAGGACCUCCUUGUCGCUCCUCUUCUCCCACUCCCCCUGUUUUUUCUUGUUGCCCCUGCCUCUCCCUAUGGCCUGAUCUCUUGCCGCUGACCGGAACUGACAUGGCCGUCCUAAAGCCCCUGCCCCGAGCACCCCGCAAGAAGUAGCGAUAGUCCCGAACAGCGCCGCCCAUGGCCUUGUCUCUGGCCAGAACGAGUCGUCCCCAACCUCCACCUCGUCGCCCACGCCGCCGCCUUGCUCCGCCCUCGCCGUCCUCCUACCGAUGAGCAGCACUAGCAGGUCUUCCUCACCGCCCCUUCUCCCUUCCCCUUUCUCUUCUUCGGUGAGUCUUCCGCUAUCUCACCCGACCCCCUCUGUCGAUGUUCCCUGUUACAGCGCCGACCACCUCCACGGGACCUUCUCCGGCCAUCCCUGUUGGUCGGCGGCCUCUCUUGCCCGUUGACUACGCCGCCGGAGCCCUGCCUUGCACCAUCUCCCCGUUGCCUGCGAGCUCGUGCUCGAGCCCUGCUUCUGCGGGCGUCCUCUGCAUCGCCCCCCCCCCCCCCCCCCCCCCCCCCCCCCCCCCCCCCCCCCCCCCCCCCCCCCCCCCCCCCCCGCUCACACGACUGCGUGCAUUGACCACAUCCUGCUGACCACGUUAACCCGCGACCUGGGCCGCAGCGUCGCCAGCCGCCUUCGCCAGCCCAGUCAGCCUCCUCUGCUCCGACCGGGCCUCAGCCCAUGGUGAGCCACUGCUGCGGCUACCUUUGCACUAUCGGCCCAAGUGCAGUUUUGGCCCAUUCUGUCUUUUUUCUGUCCAGCGAUUUUAGUAAUUAUCCAGAGAAAACUUGCGUUACAGAAAAAAACCCUCCAUGUUCAUGCAUUAAUAACUCAUAAUCCGUGCAUUGUAAUUAAACAAACUUUAUAUGUAAAAUGCUUAGAAUUUCAUGUACUUUCAUAAUUUGCAACUUUCAUCCAUGUUAAAAAUGUUAAAAAUUGAUUUGCAUUAAUUUGCAUCAAUGAGAUGUUGAAAUGAUUUAUUUCAUAACUAAAUAAUCAUAGCUCCGAAUUAAAUAAACUUUAUAUGUAAAUGGGUUAGAAAAGUGCAUAGUUUAACAUGGUGGCAUUACUUUGCAUGUUUAACAACUCUAAAAUUAUGUAUAGGGUAGAACAAUACCAAAUUUGAAAUAUGCAUGUGGGGAUUUUCCAUAAUUGUAGUUUGUUAUUUUUGGCCUCAUUUAAACUUGCCUAAAUAGUUAGUUUAGUUAUGCUUCACGUCUUGCCAUGUUAACCAAUAUUUAAGCUUGUCUUUUUCAUAAACGAGAGCGCACUAAAUAAUUCGCAUGUGGUGUUUCGUCAAUAUGUAACUCAUUGCAUAUUGAGCUCCACUUAAUUUGUAGUAUUGUUUGUUGCACUUUGCCAUUCCAUGACUCAUUAAACCGGACAUCCAUCAUACUUGAUUGUGCAUCAUGCCAUGAUUAUGCUUGUUGGUUUACCAUGUUGUUUCUUCUUUCUAGUGUUGCUUCUUCUUGAUAGUUCCGGUAACGUUGCGAUUGUGAGGAUUAAUUCGACUACGUUGAUUCGUCUACAUCAUGGAUUCAGUCUUCUUCCUAGUGGGAUUUCAGGAAAGAUGACCAUUACCUUGAAUACCGCUACUAUCUUUGCUUGCUAGUUAUCUCGAUGCUAUCGCUAUGUCGCGCUACCUACCACUUGUUUAUCAAGACUCCCAAAGUGUCAUGAUAAGCCUCUAACCUUUCUACCAUCCCAGCAAACCGUUGUUUGGCUAUGUUACCACUUUGCUUAGCCCCUCUUAUAGCGUUGCUAGUUGCAGGUGCAGUUUGAGGUUGUUCCAUGUUGGGACAUGGAUAUCAUGGGAUAUCACAAUAUCUGUUAUUUAAUUAAUGCAUCUAUUUAGAAUCAUUAUAACUAUGCAACUUUCGAGCCCUCCCAGACCAUCAACGUUCAGAGUCGUCGGAUCGUCACUUGUUACCAUUUUCGGCCGUCAGAUUGGCCUGGGAUCGCAUGCACGCUCGCCUCGUUCGCUACAGUUGAGCGCUAAUCGUCCUGGGCCGCUUCUCCGGUCACUUUUUUGGGCCUCUGUCGUUAAAUUGGCCUUAAUGGGCUUCUAGCAGCCUCCCAUCCGUGCAGGUGCAGCUGAAGGGAAAAUUAAUAAAGCUUCGUGAGGUUGUCUAAAAAAAUCAAGGGAAAAAAGUUGUCUAAAAAAAGCUGAAGGGAAAAAAAUACAUGACUCGCAACCCUCGUUUGGUUCACAAUCACAAGGUCGCAGCCUUCCUCAUUCGCGUGGCGGCUCCUCGGUCUUCGCGACCAUGUUGGGCUCCGAUCGAUGCGGGAGAGACGACUCCCAUGGCCACCGCGCUGUGAUCUGACCGACGCGACGAACGGCCUUGACGGGCGAUGGCACGGUGUCCGCUCGGUCGCACUUGCACAGCGCGACGGGACAAUGCAGUAACGACGAAUAGUAGUAUGUCGAUUGGAGUUCUAUCGCCAGUGAUUGAUUGAUUGGUUAAUGGCCAUAAAAACAGGUCAGUUUCGUUUGUCCAUUCAUAUUUAUCUUUAAGUCACAGGCGCCCAUAUAAUCCCAACCUGGCCGCUGCUCCUUCCUGCUCCUUCCCCAAACCAUUCUGUGACAGAGAUUGGUGAUGCUUAGGUCUCUAAGUUAUUCUAAUCCCCCCUCCUUCCUACCCCCCACCCCCACCCCCUCUUCCCCCAAUUCUUCAUCCAUUUUCAAAAUUUGUUUCAUUGAUGUUGUUCUUUCUGUUCACAAACAACGCAGGAUCUCUAGAGGACGGAUUUCUCCCCGCAAAAAAGGAAAGAGAAAAAAAAUGGAUUUCUUUCUUUCUUGCAGCUGAAUCUACCAAUAUCCAGUGGUCAACGGACAGGUUAGUAUGAGUAUCCUCAUAUGCUGUUAUGCCUCAUUUAACUUGUGCGCCAUCUAACUAUCUAUGCAUAUUAUAUUUACCUUUCUAUUCGUACAAUAUGAUGCCACUCUCUAUGAUUGAUUGAAAUAAUUGCAGUACUGCCUGUUGUUUUUGCCCUAUAUAUGUAGCAGGUUAGUUAGCAAGUUAAAAAUGCACAAACGAAACAGGAAUAUUGUUCAAGGUGCUGAUGCCUCCACAUCACAUUCUGGAUAUGAACACAUUAUGCCUAUCAGAUCACUUUCACAAAACUUCUUAUGCAGCAGAAUAAGCCAACCUAGUGAAACCGAAGUUCAGUCGAUUAAUCCAGAGAACCUGCUUUAAUUUUGGGGGUGCAAAGAAUAGCAUCACUAAAGAAAAAAAAUCUGUAACUCGAUGCAGAGUUGGGGAAAGAGGGUAGGUAGGAAGGAGGGGACACUUGGAGAAGGGGGGAAGAUGAAUGUCAACCAUGCCCACCGGUGAAGGAUCUGCGGAAGUAUGGAGGGGAAUGGGGAAGGAGAACUGGACGAUGGAGCCCAUGCUACCUGUAUGUGUAAUUCUACUGGUUUUAGUGCGUCUAACAUAUUCUUUAUCCUGCCAUUCAUUUAACAAAUUGCACAGCACGAAAAAUGAGUUCCUUAUCUCAGCCUAUAAUGUUCUUUUCCUGCAAUUUGAUGUCAAUAAAUCCAUUUUGACGCUUGCCCUGCUGAAAGUUACACCAUGAAAUAUAGAGGAUUUUAAUUUUGUCAGUAAGUUGUCAGAUUAUUAAACUUAUAAAGUUUUUUCUAUUAUUAUGCAUCUAUAUAUGGGUACCUUGUGAAUUUAUGGUCGGAGCUGAGAGGAAGCUGAAAAUAGUAAACAAGUCAGCACAGGUUGGUUUUGAUGCAUUGCUUGCCAAUUUGAUACAUAUCGACAUACAGUACCAUGCUUGCUAUAUCGCACUGAUGGUCGAGCCCGGCCAUCGAAGCCCGACGACAGUGACAAUGGGAAGGAAAAUUUUUGGUUAGUCGGCCCUUCGUUAAUUUAUUCUAUGUGAUAAUAUUAGUCCGCACUAGGAUUUAGGCUGCAGUAAUUUCUUGAUAUAGAUGGAAUUAGCUAGGGGCAGCAAUCUCUUAUUUUAUCCUCACAAAAUGAUACCAGAAAUUAGACAUGCCAUGCUGAUUCUAUCAUUUUGAUUAAAUUUGUAACAGAUUGUGUUUGUGUUUGUGUAGUUAUGAAGAGUAAAAACAACGUAUAGAUUUUACAAGAUAGUUGGAUCAAGUAAAAAAAUGAAGGACCACAACAAACUAUUAAAAACAUUCAACAUAUUUGCUAUGUAUUAAUAAAUCUUUGUCUCAUAACAGUCCCUUUGGUUACUACAUACUUGUCCAUAGGACUAUAGCAGUCUUUGUUUCAUACGAUUCCACCAUUGUUGUCCUCUACAACAAGAAAAGAAAGUUUUCUACGAUGUCUUUGGCUCUUCCUAUACAAAAUUCUAAUACAACUAUGCGCUUGCUGAAGAAGUAAAAUAUAAAUUUGUUUAUCUCUGGACCCAUAUGAUUUAUUAUUGGGACAAAUAGCAUAAGCAUAUUAACUAAUGGUAAUGUUACUCAGACUUAUAUGUUACUAAAAUGAUGCACACUUACCUUAUUUGGCCUGAUUUGUUCUUUUUUUGUGAAUUUUUGAAUUUUUUGAAUUAUUGAUUUAUAGUUUUAGUUGUGUAUUAGCAUCUAAGAUGGAAUCAAAAUAAAUUAAAUAAAGAAAAAUAUUUUUCUCAGUCUCGUGUGCUAUAUUCCCUAACUCUCUCACCCAUGCAGGUGGAUUUUACAAGUUUUCAUUCUGCUUGAUAGCACUGCAGUGCCAUAAUUUGAGACAUGCAUAGAAGGCCCUGUCUUCUUAGAUGGACUAUAUGUUUAUAUGCUCAUAGUUAGUGUAAUGUAUUGUAGUGAUCCGCAUGUUACGCAAAUUCAUGUCAAUAUUCAAGGAUACAUUGCACUUUUUUCUAACUGAAAUGUGAACUGAUCAUAUGACUGAUAUAUGCUAUUAGGAGGUAUAUAUCAAUCCUCACAUAUUUUUUGAUUC
Molecule: long non-coding RNA, 5810 nt
Organism: Triticum urartu
Lineage: Eukaryota; Viridiplantae; Streptophyta; Magnoliopsida; Poales; Poaceae
Source: RefSeq, a predicted model, not a curated record